This 1510-nucleotide ribosomal RNA is filed under the name Campylobacter jejuni. Its description in RNAcentral is "partial 23S ribosomal RNA". It matches the Rfam family "Bacterial large subunit ribosomal RNA", at positions 1 to 1539 of the family's 2925-position model. Lineage: Bacteria; Pseudomonadati; Campylobacterota; Epsilonproteobacteria; Campylobacterales; Campylobacteraceae. The record is from RNAcentral.
AGGUAAGCUACUAAGAGCGAAUGGUGGAUGCCUUGACUGGUAAAGGCGAUGAAGGACGUACUAGACUGCGAUAAGCUACGGGGAGCUGUCAAGAAGCUUUGAUCCGUAGAUUUCCGAAUGGGGCAACCCAAUGUAUAGAGAUAUACAUUACCUAUAUAGGAGCGAACGAGGGGAAUUGAAACAUCUUAGUACCCUCAGGAAAAGAAAUCAAUAGAGAUUGCGUCAGUAGCGGCGAGCGAAAGCGCAAGAGGGCAAACCCAGUGCUUGCACUGGGGGUUGUAGGACUGCAAUGUGCAAGAGGUAAGUUUAGCAGAACAUUCUGGAAAGUAUAACCAUAGAGGGUGAUAGUCCCGUAUGCGAAAAACAAACCUUAGCUAGCAGUAUCCUGAGUAGGGCGGGACACGAGGAAUCCUGUCUGAAUCUGGGUCGACCACGAUCCAACCCUAAAUACUAAUACCAGAUCGAUAGUGCACAAGUACCGUGAGGGAAAGGUGAAAAGAACUGAGGUGAUCAGAGUGAAAUAGAACCUGAAACCAUUUGCUUACAAUCAUUCAGAGCCCUAUGUAGCAAUACAGGGUGAUGGACUGCCUUUUGCAUAAUGAGCCUGCGAGUUGUGGUGUCUGGCAAGGUUAAGCAAACGCGAAGCCGUAGCGAAAGCGAGUCUGAAUAGGGCGCUUAGUCAGAUGCUGCAGACCCGAAACGAAGUGAUCUAUCCAUGAGCAAGUUGAAGCUAGUGUAAGAACUAGUGGAGGACUGAACCCAUAGGCGUUGAAAAGCCCCGGGAUGACUUGUGGAUAGGGGUGAAAGGCCAAUCAAACUUCGUGAUAGCUGGUUCUCUCCGAAAUAUAUUUAGGUAUAGCGUUGUGUCGUAAUAUAAGGGGGUAGAGCACUGAAUGGGCUAGGGCAUACACCAAUGUACCAAACCCUAUCAAACUCCGAAUACCUUAUAUGUAAUCACAGCAGUCAGGCGGCGAGUGAUAAAAUCCGUCGUCAAGAGGGAAACAACCCAGACUACCAGCUAAGGUCCCUAAAUCUUACUUAAGUGGAAAACGAUGUGAAGUUACUUAAACAACCAGGAGGUUGGCUUAGAAGCAGCCAUCCUUUAAAGAAAGCGUAAUAGCUCACUGGUCUAGUGAUUUUGCGCGGAAAAUAUAACGGGGCUAAAGUAAGUACCGAAGCUGUAGACUUAGUUUACUAAGUGGUAGGAGAGCGUUCUAUUUGCGUCGAAGGUAUACCGGUAAGGAGUGCUGGAGCGAAUAGAAGUGAGCAUGCAGGCAUGAGUAGCGAUAAUUAAUGUGAGAAUCAUUAACGCCGUAAACCCAAGGUUUCCUACGCGAUGCUCGUCAUCGUAGGGUUAGUCGGGUCCUAAGUCGAGUCCGAAAGGGGUAGACGAUGGCAAAUUGGUUAAUAUUCCAAUACCAACAUUAGUGUGCGAUGGAAGGACGCUUAGGGCUAAGGGGGCUAGCGGAUGGAAGUGCUAGUCUAAGGUCGUAGGAGGUUAUACAGGCAA